Brassica rapa (field mustard) is the source of this 4625-nucleotide long non-coding RNA. RefSeq lists it as uncharacterized. NCBI's taxonomy places the organism in Eukaryota, Viridiplantae, Streptophyta, Magnoliopsida, Brassicales, Brassicaceae. The record is from RefSeq and is a predicted model, not a curated record.
UAAACAUAAAUAGUCAUUUAAAAUGAAAUACGAUAAAUAAAAAUAAAAAGUUUAAGUCCUUUAUAAAAUAAAACACAAAUAUAUGAAAAUUUGACAUUUACUAAAUAUUGUCAAUUGAAAAAAUAAAAUAAUAAAAUAAUAAACCCGCGUUUUGAAAGCGCGGGUCAAAAUCUAGUUAUCUUUUAAUGCAUAAAAGCAUGAUUGGAAUGUCUUUCAAAUUACUAAUUUACCAAACUCAAUCCAUUUUGAAUAACAUUUUAGUGGAUAAAAAUUAAAGUGUUACGGCACAUUAUCCUUAUAGAGUUGACCAAAAGCAGCAAUUUGUUAUAUAACUAGAUAAUAAUAGUUGGAAGUGGUGAAUUCAUAAAGUUUACAUCUCAUCCUUUCUUUUGACUUUCUUAACAAGUAUCAAGUAUGUCCAAAUCAUUGAAAGUUGGCUCAAGAUUGACCCUACAUUAUGUUUUAAGAGAACUAGUUUGUCGAAAACCUCACUUAUCGUUAAUUGCUCAUUUGGUUUCUUGCCUGUUGUCAAAGAAACUAUCAAAAUCGUUCUUUAAUAUAAAUUUAACCUUUAACAAAAGAAGAUAAACAAUCUAUGUUGGUUUGAAUUAUCAAUUACAGUAAAUAUUUUUGUUUAUGAACUUACGUUAUAAAAAAUGUUCCCCUUAUGCACAUAGUUAUCAUGGAAUAAAAAGAAUAAUUCAUGACAACAAUAACUGUAAUUAGAAAGUAGCAUCAAUAAUAAAUCACAAUACUAAAAGGCCAAUAUGCUGAGUCUCUAGGCUGCCACGUCACCAAAAAUAAUCAGCCAAUCAGGAUAUUUCGUUUGGACAUGUCAAACAGGCUUAAGUCGUUUCUGGGCUUCACGUUUUCAUUUAAUUUGGAGUGGGCUGGGCUUCGUCUGCAUCGUCUUUAGCCUCUCUUUUUUUUUAAUUUUGCGUGAUCACAAUACUAAAAGCAGCAUUUCCUCAAAAUCUAUGCUGCCACGUCAUCAAAAAUAAUUAGCCAAUCACAACAUUUUUUUUUUUUUUUGGGUCUCAAUUGUUGGACUUGGAUGUGUGGAUUUAUUAAACCAUAUUCUGUGUUUUCAUUUUAGGCCUAUCUCUAAAUAUAAUGCAUUGAGGCCCGGAAUUGCAUGUCGUCAUCUAGGUCAUAUCUUCAUCUUACGGCCACCGCUUUUUCCGAGAUGAAAGUCGAUGAUAACGCCAUGGACGUUACAACGUUUCAUCUUGCUCUUCUUUACUUCCUGUUAAUUCGUGAUUUCCCCACUCCUCAGCAUUCAAUCCGACUCCUUCUCUUCCCGUACCUACUCACUAGAGCUUCGGGUAUAAAUACUUCCUCAUCCAGACAUGAGCAUCACAGCUUCGACGAGAACCAGAAGAUCUCUCUGUUCAAGUUCCGGUUAUUACAAUGGCGAAUUCCCAAGUCCUUCUUGCUGAUUUGAAAGCAGGACGCUGCUCCAACGUUGCGGAGGUCCAGUGGGAAGCCAGAAAUGUGAGGAGAGGAGGUGAAUUGACGAGUGUUGACAUGCUCUUUGUCGAUGAGAAUAGUUCAAGGAAAGGUUUGCUUGUGUCCUACCCGCAUUCAGCUUUUACCAACGUAAUGCGGUGAACAAGGUUAAAUUUCAAGUGUGAUUAGUUUGUAUUGAUCUUUUCCUCAUUUAAAAUGAACUCCGUGACUGUAUUAAAAAGCAGAAAGAAGCAGCUUUAUAAAGGUUCUUAGUACGUAUACUAGAAUAAGGGUGGAUAGGAGAAAUAAGAUUGGAGAAUUUUAGUUGAUUUUCAGACUUAAUUUUGUUUGGAUGUUGCUUUUAAAUGACCAAACCAGAGACCUAAGACAUGUAUGUAUGCCAUCAUGAUGCCCUGAUUGUGCUACGACCCAAAAGUUUUCAUUUGUUUUUUGUUAGUUAAACACGUGAAAGCUAAAUGUUAAUAAGUUUGAUUUAGAGUUGUAAACAAAAUUCAAAGUUAUAAUAUUCCAUAUAGUUGUAUAGGCUAUUGACUUUUAAAUAUUCCCUCGGUUACAGCAUUGAAGACGUUCACCCAAACGGUGGAAUCAAGAAAUUCAAAUCUUCUGUCUACUCCAACGUAAGCUUCGUCCAAUCAUUUUACUCUUUCUUCCAAUUAUUUUACUCUCAAGUCAAUCAUGACAGUAUCGAGUUGUAGCGUGCACUGAGUCUCCUAAUAUACUUAUAUCUCUCUUAUACUUUUCAGUUUAUAUUUUCCUUUCGUCUAAAUCAAAACUGGUUCCCCAAUCCAAUCGUUCUCAAAGUCAUGUCGCUCAUACAACAAGGUGAGAUGGAUUUGUCUGCAAAUCGGUUUGGAAGGUUACGAGAAGUAGCUCGAGGUCAUCUUUCAAGACUCCAAGGGAUUUGGUCUCUGUGCUCUGAUCAAGUUGCAGUUGGACAAAAAACUCACUCUUGCUGCAUGUGUGAUCGUGCUCUGAGUCCAGUUUCUUUGUCUACCCCCACAAAGUCAUCAUCAAGACUUCUUCAUCUUCACAUCUGAGUGAGAGCGGGAGCAAGGCUGCAGACCCAGACCCAGUUGGGACAUCACCAGAGCCUACAACUAAGAAGCCAAUGAGGUGUACCAAUCGUGAGUAGACGUUAGAGUGGCUCUCAAUUAUCGUUCAGUCCAGCUGUCAUCUAUCAUAUUUUCAUAGUUUAUGCUUCCAGUUUAAUAAUUGUAAGGCUUAUUAGGUCUCUGUCUAUGCAAAUAUUUGGGCUUUGAUAUUUUAAAAUUAAACACUUAUACACCUAAGUGAGUCAAUAACAUAAUAUUUUCCAGCUUCUUAUUUCUCUUCCAAACACACUCCAUCGAAGAUAAAUUGACUCUACAGGAAAUAGCUUUCCCCGACAUACAACGUUUUUUAAAACUUCGGGGAUAUAAACAUAAGAACGUAGCUGGGUGGAUGUCGUCCACCUGGGUGUGAACCCAAAGUUGACCUUCAGUUCGUCAAAAGCUUUUAAGUUUUAACACAAGAAAAAUUCCAGAAAAUGUUUUGAGUGUUUUGAGUGUUUUUCAGUUUUGCCAAUUUUGUUGAUCAGACGUAACAACGACCUCAUACAAUGCUGUGACACCGAUUAGCAGCCCAAACAUGUCACUUAAUUAGCCACUUGGCAUCUUAUUAAAGAGUCGAAUUUAAAUAUAUGGAUGCCCAAAACUACAUUUCUAAACGGAAAACAAUACGGCAAUAUAAGCACUGCGAUUAAACUAUGUUUGGCACACUUUGACUCUAAAGAACGAUUGUCCAAUUACCACCAUCCACAGAUAUAAUAAACUGAAAAGCUAUUAAUAAAUAACAAAACAAUUUAAUACAUCGUAACAGUAAACUAAAUGGAAUAAUCUGGAAAAAGAAGUCCAAGUCUUAAUUUACAAUAUACAUUACAAACUAAAAUAAAAUAAAAAAUGCAACACAAUAAACAUGAAUUCAAUAUUAUUUUGAAGACAAAGUAUUUAACCAAUAUGUCCACAAUGAAUCCUUAACAUAUUCUCACAUCUAUGACAUGGACAAAACAUGUAAGGAUUGUUACUACUUUAAAAGGAGAAAAAAUUUGUUAUCUUCAUUCAAACACAUGCAUUUACAUGUUUUUCUUUUGGAACAUCAAUUUUACUUUAUGCUUUAAGAUCAACUAUAUUUACUUUGGUGCAACUAUCACCUAUUUAUUCUAUUUUUAUUGAAUCGAUUAGUGAAAAUCACUUAUGCUAUUCAUUUUUGACCUAAACAACUUCAAAACAAAAUAAUUCACUACAAUUAUUAAGGACUAUCAAUUUGAUACAAAAAAAAUUAAAAUUAUUAGAAAACAAGACAUACGAACCCGGCGCGUAGCGCCGGAAUACCACUAGUAUUCAUAAUAUGAACAAUUAAAAUAGCUACCACAUGACAUCUGUCACGGUAAAGAUUUAAAGUUUUCAUUGUUCAAAAAGUAAUUUGGUGAGAUACAUAAUUAUGGAUUAUCUGGUAAAGUACUAGAAAAGCAAACAAAGUUCAGCGAAUAUAAAAAUUGAUAAGUUUCAAUUAUUUAUAUAAUUUAUAAGCAAAUUAUUUUAACUGUCGUCUUUUUCAGGUUUCAUGUUUAAAAAUGAUAAUCAUGUCAUAGUGGUUUCCACUGAAUGAUGAGUCACUUUGUUGGUCCAGGCAAGUGUUCGAAUCUUUCCGGUGCAAAUUUUCUAGUUUCUUAUGUGGCUUUGAUUCUCUAAUUCCCACAUAAAGUAACUGAGCUUAUCUGUUGAUGGUGGCCGGUCCAUAUGAGCAGGACUAGUCGGGCUUCGACUUGGACACCUCUCUUAUUUAAUAAAAAAAGUUUCAAAAUGAUUUCACAUUAGUUAUCAAACUUAUUCAGUAAAAAGGAAAACAUAUACACUAUAUUGAGUCAUUCAAGGGUGGAUCAUGUUAUUUUUGUCUGUAUCCUUCAUCUGCUUCACUCGUUGAGGUAGUAGUGUGUAACUAAAUCUUCCACAUGAGUUUUCGCAGUAUCCGGUUGAGAGAGAACGUUAUGCCAUAUAAAUAGUUGAAAGUCUUUUAUCUUCCACUUUCAUUUCUUGAUCAGUUAGCAAAGAACCGGGAGGAUACACGAAGGAGUCAUAGCCAUGAGCAUACAUCUACUACAAACUGGCAUGGUGAAC